This is a long non-coding RNA of Quercus robur (English oak), 1266 nucleotides long. RefSeq lists it as uncharacterized. The transcript has 3 exons. NCBI's taxonomy places the organism in Eukaryota, Viridiplantae, Streptophyta, Magnoliopsida, Fagales, Fagaceae. The record is from RefSeq and is a predicted model, not a curated record.
AAAUGUUCGACUAAAACCAUUUAGUUCUCAAAUUGAUUUAGUACCUUCUAUUAUUGGAUAGUUUAACUGAUGUUAAUUAUGAUGAAUUAGAACACUUUCCAGCUUCCUUCACUAUUUUGGAUAAUCAAAUUUAUCUGACAUGAGUAGGUAUGAAAGGCUGAAACAAGAACAAGCCCAUACAAAAUCAGGAAGUGGUCGGCAAUUCUUCUGCUUUAUUAUGUGUGCUUCUAUUGAAAUUUGAUUAAAAGGAAAUCAUUUCCUUCAGAAAAAAAUAUCAACCCAUGAGCAAGGCAAAUGUUUCGGAUUUCUCAACUCACCACCAGUAAAUGCCCUUGUUUGGGUGUGGAUGGGUUUGGUAUCUCAUCAACUGAUGAAUGAAUUUGAGCAAUCCAGUGAUGUAACAUCCUCGAGAUUUUUAGAGACACAUCUACCGAUAUGUUUCUUCUGAUUAGUCCUAGUUUAAUCCAAAUAACAUCAUCAAAUGCAACAAACACACUGUCUAUGGAUGGAUUUGGGCUCAUAGACUCUCUUCAAGAUUUUGGUAUUGGUGGACAUGAAGAUUUGAAGUCCUAACCAGAGGAAAUGUUGCUACUUUUCUUUUUCCUCCUAACUACAAACAGUUCAUAGGUUCAGCAAGUCACUCCUCUUGCCAUGGUUGCUUUCGUCACCAGUAGGAACUAACCAACUCUCUUUUUCACAUCAAGAAUUUUAUAGUCUUAUGCUACUACAAUGGUGCCUGAAAGAAACUGGGAAAGCUGGCUGUUGACCUAAGAUUUCUCAACUCUCGUUCCUUGAAUAUAGCUAAAAGAGAUUAGAUUAAAUCAAACUAAAAUUAUAUAGGGUGUGAUUAGACGUUAGAACAAUAUAUAAAAAAAUCAAAUGUGAGUAGUCAAAUAUUACAUUCUUAUAUUUAUCAUAUUGAAAAUACAAAGCCAUAUAAUUUUAUCAACUAAACCACCAUUAAAAUCUCAAACUUUUUUACACUUAACCACACACAUGCAUGCGCACACACAUUUGAAUGACUCACAGAUAGAACAUCCCCAUCUAUCUUAAUAUCCUCUUCCAUGCUGAUGCUGCUUUCAUGUUGCAUAGAAGGUCUAUCAGUGUCCAUGGUAUUGAACACAGUUUUUGAAUUUUGUUGAUUGUUUUGUCCUGAGUAGGUCAUAUAAUGCUCAAAUUGAUGACUCAUGUAUCGUUCCUGACAUCAAUAAAAGUACGAGUCUCAGCUUCAGAAUUUAGUAAAUUUUGCAAUUAUGGGUAACAUAA